AGUGCAGCUAAUAAGUAACCUGUUGAUGGGUGAGAUCAAGCUGUUUUGUUUUGUGGGGGUAUCUGUCUCUGAAGCGGCUCUUCCACCCCUGCGGGAUCCCUUCCUGAGCCCACCUCCUCCUUGCUCCAGAGAUGCUGUCCCCACAGACCUGGAGUUCCACUGACGUCGGUGUCCCCUAGGUGUUCUCAGCUGCUGCCUCGGGGGCCAAAUCACACCCUGCUCCCACCCUGAAUAAGAGGGAAAACUGCCAGGUCCAUCCAGUGGCAAGAAAUCGUGAAGGUGAAGGUCCCAUCCAAGGUCUGCUUCCGGCUGGGCUUCUCCCCUGAACAUAGACACACACGUCCCCCUGUGAGCUGGACAUCUGCCCCGUGGUCUGGUACCCGUCUCUACAUCGGCACGUCCAGAACUGAGCUUCCGGCCGCCCUGGGUAUGGACCAGUCAGGUACGGCCUCUCUCAGAAGACAGCCAAAGCCAGAGACGCUGAGACGUGAGGGAGGAGCCGCCUGGUGGCCUGGGAAGACACUCCAAAUGGAGACAGCAGCAAGUGCAAGGCCCCCGACGGGGACGCGCUCCUCCAGGCUGCCCCCCGCACCCCAAGCCCCUCCACGUCCGGCUUAGUUCCGGGGGCUCCUGCCCAGACGUUCCUGAGGCCCUGACCCCCGCCGCUCCCGGAAGCCCUGCUCUCCCCAGGCUGGAAGUGACCUCGGGUGAAAGCAGCCGUGGACUGAAAGGCAGGGACGGGACAGACUCCUCUGGGGCAGCAAAGCCCAAGGACCCCCAUCCCUCAGGAGGGUGGGCAACAGCUGCUGGCCCCUGGAGGGUGGAUGCCCUGGAGGGGGAGGGGCACGGCGUGAGCCGGCAGUGGAGGGCUGACCCCCCCCACUCAUGCCCUGGGGGCCAGGGGUG
Physeter macrocephalus (sperm whale) is the source of this 906-nucleotide long non-coding RNA. RefSeq lists it as uncharacterized. NCBI's taxonomy places the organism in Eukaryota, Metazoa, Chordata, Mammalia, Artiodactyla, Physeteridae. The record is from RefSeq and is a predicted model, not a curated record. The transcript has 4 exons.